RNAcentral lists this transfer RNA (76 nucleotides) under Stutzerimonas stutzeri. RNAcentral describes it as "Pseudomonas stutzeri tRNA-Thr". It matches the Rfam family "tRNA". Rfam says of the family: Transfer RNA (tRNA) molecules are approximately 80 nucleotides in length. Their secondary structure includes four short double-helical elements and three loops (D, anti-codon, and T loops). Further hydrogen bonds mediate the characteristic L-shaped molecular structure. tRNAs have two regions of fundamental functional importance: the anti-codon, which is responsible for specific mRNA codon recognition, and the 3' end, to which the tRNAs corresponding amino acid is attached (by aminoacyl-tRNA synthetases). tRNAs cope with the degeneracy of the genetic code in two manners: having more than one tRNA (with a specific anti-codon) for a particular amino acid; and 'wobble' base-pairing, i.e. permitting non-standard base-pairing at the 3rd anti-codon position. The record is from RNAcentral. Lineage: Bacteria; Pseudomonadati; Pseudomonadota; Gammaproteobacteria; Pseudomonadales; Pseudomonadaceae. RNAcentral also lists the same sequence under 1 other name.
GCCGCUAUAGCUCAGUCGGUAGAGCGCCUGCCUUGUAAGCAGGAUGCCAAGGGUUCGAUUCCUUUUGGCGGCACCA